UACGUAGGGUGCAAGCGUUAAUCGGAAUUACUGGGCGUAAAGCGUGCGCAGGCGGUGAUGUAAGACAGUUGUGAAAUCCCCGGGCUCAACCUGGGAACUGCAUCUGUGACUGGAUGACUAGAGUACGGCAGAGGGGGAUGGAAUUCCGCGUGUAGCAGUGAAAUGCGUAGAUAUGCGGAGGAACACCGAUGGCGAAGGCAAUCCCCUGGGCCUGUACUGACGCUCAUGCACGAAAGCGUGGGGAGCAAACAGG
This 253-nucleotide ribosomal RNA is filed under the name uncultured bacterium. RNAcentral describes it as "partial 16S ribosomal RNA". It matches the Rfam family "Bacterial small subunit ribosomal RNA", at positions 524 to 776 of the family's 1533-position model. The record is from RNAcentral.